This 335-nucleotide ribosomal RNA is filed under the name Zoogloea ramigera. RNAcentral describes it as "bacterial SSU rRNA". It matches the Rfam family "Bacterial small subunit ribosomal RNA", at positions 948 to 1279 of the family's 1533-position model. Lineage: Bacteria; Pseudomonadati; Pseudomonadota; Betaproteobacteria; Rhodocyclales; Zoogloeaceae. The record is from RNAcentral.
AAUUCGAAGCAACGCGCAGAACCUUACCAGCCCUUGACAUGUCGGUCGCGGAUUACAGAGAUGUUUUCCUUCAGUUAGGCUGGACCGAACACAGGUGCUGCAUGGCUGUCGUCAGCUCGUGUCGUGAGAUGUUGGGUUAAGUCCCGCAACGAGCGCAACCCUCGCCCUUAGUUGCCAGCAUUCAGUUGGGCACUCUAAGGGGACUGCCGGUGAUAAGCCGAGAGGAAGGUGGGGAUGACGUCAAGUCCUCAUGGCCCUUACGGGCUGGGCUACACACGUGCUACAAUGGUGGUGACAGUGGGCAGCGAGACAGCCAUGUCGAGCUAAUCUCCAAA